RNAcentral lists this ribosomal RNA (466 nucleotides) under uncultured bacterium. RNAcentral describes it as "partial 16S ribosomal RNA". It matches the Rfam family "Bacterial small subunit ribosomal RNA", at positions 28 to 507 of the family's 1533-position model. The record is from RNAcentral.
GACGAACGCUGGCGGCGCGCCUAACACAUGCCAGUCGAACGAGCGAGCGAGAGCUUGCUUUCUCGAGCGAGUGGCGAACGGGUGAGUAACGCGUGAGGAACCUGCCUCAAAGAGGGGGACAACAGUUGGAAACGACUGCUAAUACCGCAUAAGCCCACGGCUCGGCAUCGAGCAGGGGGAAAAGGAGCAAUCCGCUUUGAGAUGGCCUCGCGUCCGAUUAGCUAGUUGGUGGGGUAACGGCCCACCAAGGCGACGAUCGGUAGCCGGACCGAGAGGUUGAACGGCCACAUUGGGACUGAGACACGGCCCAGACUCCUACGGGAGGCAGCAGUGGGGAAUAUUGCACAAUGGGGGAAACCCUGAUGCAGCGACGCCGCGUGGAGGAAGAAGGUCUUCGGAUUGUAAACUCCUGUUGUUGGGGAAGAUAAUGACGGUACCCAACAAGGAAGUGACGCCUAACUACGUG